GCGGGCGUCGUAUAACGGCAGUACACGAUCCUUCCAAGAUCGAUGCGCGGGUUCAAUUCCCGCCGCCCGCACCA
Molecule: transfer RNA, 74 nt
Filed under: Candidatus Jorgensenbacteria bacterium CG10_big_fil_rev_8_21_14_0_10_54_38
Lineage: Bacteria; Candidatus Joergenseniibacteriota
Also listed under: 1 other name
Description: tRNA-Gly
Rfam family: tRNA
About the family: Transfer RNA (tRNA) molecules are approximately 80 nucleotides in length. Their secondary structure includes four short double-helical elements and three loops (D, anti-codon, and T loops). Further hydrogen bonds mediate the characteristic L-shaped molecular structure. tRNAs have two regions of fundamental functional importance: the anti-codon, which is responsible for specific mRNA codon recognition, and the 3' end, to which the tRNAs corresponding amino acid is attached (by aminoacyl-tRNA synthetases). tRNAs cope with the degeneracy of the genetic code in two manners: having more than one tRNA (with a specific anti-codon) for a particular amino acid; and 'wobble' base-pairing, i.e. permitting non-standard base-pairing at the 3rd anti-codon position.
Source: RNAcentral